GUUAAUUUAUUUCAUUUUGAGACAAUUGUUGAUUUUUAAUUACAAAAUUUGAAUGCGUUGUUUAUCUUUACGAAUUUAGUUAGCAUAUUUUAUAUAAUUGAUGCAACUAUAAAUUCACUAAAAUAACUAAUUAACUUAAAUUUUAUAUCAGAAGAACAAUCAAAUCAUUUAAAUCAAACGGAAUGACAAGCUGGGUAGUAAAAUUAAAAUUUUGUAAGAUUUAGCAGAAGAAUCAAAAUGGUUUAUAGUUCAGAUAUGUUUCAUAUGUUUUUACCAAU
Molecule: long non-coding RNA, 278 nt
Filed under: Ananas comosus (pineapple)
Lineage: Eukaryota; Viridiplantae; Streptophyta; Magnoliopsida; Poales; Bromeliaceae
Description: long non-coding RNA (ACOM_LNC001602)
Source: RNAcentral